UCGUGCAAAUUUUCUAUUUUUGUGGCAAUGAUAGGAAUCAUGCUAGGCAUCCUGUUAAAACUAUCUGUGUCUUCUUCACCUACUACAGCAUAGUUGUCUUCAUCAGUUCAGGAAACAACUCUUCUUUGUAUCACGAGCUAGCUACGUUUUACCUGAGUCUUCCCUUUCCCAUCUUCUUCUCUAGGGGCAGCCCUUACUGUAUAUUUUUCAUCAAAAUUUCUUUUCAUUAUACUCUUUUUUACUCCCAUGAAUUGGAAAUAUAUUUAAUCUACAAUUUCAUGUGUUAGACCGUUAAUUCACGAAAUUAGUUGUUAUAAUUUAUUUCUGAAACCGUUAAGACUUGAGCAGAAUUUUGAGGGUUGCUAGAUCUGUUGCUGCUGUUGACUGCUUUCUGCUGCUGUAGUUCAACAGGCUGACUGCAGUCUCCGGUCCUUAAUUUGCUGCUUAGGACAAGGAUACUGUGUUGAGGCGACUGAUUCCGGGAAGUCAGGGAGGGGAUUCUGCAGUUACAAUUUGAUGUGUGGUUUUCUGCUGCUAGUGCUUUGUGGCAGUGUGAUUGGACUGGUUUUUUUGGCUUGAGUUUGUUCUGUCAGCAGCCGGUGGAUGGGUUGUGGUUCUGCAGCUGCUGUUUUAUAGUCAACUGACCUAAGUUCACUUCCUGGGGUUUGAUUUGGGGCAGUGUUGUAGCUGGUGGAUGAAAUUGUAGCUUAGGUUUAUUUUCUCUUAAGUUUCGUAUCUGUGAAAAUUCCUAACUUGCAUGGAACGAAGCAAUCAGUACACUUAGAAUCUUGGAAAAGACAAAUGGUCACGCCUUCUCCUCUCCACCCUUUUUGUUGACAGAGAACUACAUCUAUGGCAUAUUAGUUGUUUUUAGAAAGGGCAAUAUGAUCAUGUCCUUUAUAUUUCAACAUAUCUGGCAGGUCAAAGCUAUUGCAGAAGAAAUGGGGAUUGGAUUGCUACGUGUGAGAGCAAUCAAAGGGAACACCAACAUAGCACGAGCUGAGAUGGGGUCGAGUUCUUGGGACAGUGACAAGAUCCUUCACUAGGUGCAAUUGGCUAUGCAGAUAGGCUGGUAUUCGCACUAGAUAAAUGCUGAAAGGGAUUUGAGAAUACCGAUUCUAGCCUUUCAGUUUUAGCAGGGGAAUUGAAGAAGUUAAGGUUUUGGUAGCUGUACAAAUUCGUCUACUGUUACAUUUUCGUAUUGCUAUAGAAAAUUUCAUAGUGUUGUUGGCCAAAUGGUCUAUGAUAUUCUUGAUUCUAUUUGUUAUAUAUAGCUAAGACGACUUCCCUUUAAAAUCCAAAAUCAAAGGCUUACAACUCUUAAUGCUUGAGCAUUCUGUUUCAGGUGAUGCUAAUCUGUGGGACGACAGUGAUGGGAUAUAAGCAGAUGGUCAACUAUGGCUUGAAGAUCACCAUAUAAUCGGAAGAGUGAUUGGGUUUUCAAAACUCCAAGGGAGGGGCCCUUUACCAAAAAGGAGUUGGAUGAAGUUCGAGACAAGUGGGCUACUUACUUCAACGAUUGUGAACUACCCUCGGUGUAAUAAAUAGAGAAGGCUUGUAGUUAUUCGUGACUCUUACAUUAUUUUGUUAUUUAUCGAUUUAAUUAAUUACAUUUGAAUUAAUUCGGUAAUAUUAUUGGAAAUUUGAAAUUUAUAUCAUUUUUGAGAAUGUCAAGCUGAUGUUUGAUGAAACAGAAAUUAUAUUGCAAAAUCAGAAAUUAUAUUGCAGAA
Long non-coding RNA from Spinacia oleracea (spinach), 1730 nucleotides. RefSeq lists it as uncharacterized. The transcript is spliced from 2 exons. The record is from RefSeq and is a predicted model, not a curated record. NCBI's taxonomy places the organism in Eukaryota, Viridiplantae, Streptophyta, Magnoliopsida, Caryophyllales, Amaranthaceae.